Helianthus annuus (common sunflower) is the source of this 1782-nucleotide long non-coding RNA. RefSeq lists it as uncharacterized. The record is from RefSeq and is a predicted model, not a curated record. Lineage: Eukaryota; Viridiplantae; Streptophyta; Magnoliopsida; Asterales; Asteraceae. The transcript is spliced from 6 exons.
ACGCCCCAAAAUCUAAUAGUUGAUAAAUAAGGCAUUUACUAGAAUUAUGUGUGAAAUAACUUAACUAGGAUUAGUUAACCUAGUUUGUUUUUCUAUGUUAGUUACAAGAAGGAAAUAAAUAAAUUAUCAAAACUACAAGGGUUAAUCUUGUACCUUUUAAAUAAAGUUUGGUUAAGUAGUGGAAGAUCACAAACAUCAGACAUAAGUCUGAUGUUGGUGUCGAUGCAAGCCAAGGGCCAAGAAGGGUUUCUCAUGAUGAUGAAAUGUUGAAGAAUUGAAGCAAAAUCCAGCCUUAAUUCUCUUGCAUGUGUAGAGAUUCUACAUCAAAAAGCUAUAUGAAACAUGUGUAUAGGGAUCAUGUCGAGAUGGAUGGAAGCAUAAAGGGCUAACGGGUCACGAGGACAUGAGGAAACGAGAGCGAAUAUGGAUGCGUAAGGUUAUGAAUGUCGGACUUUCGAAGUGUUGAUAUAGUAAUGGAAUGGUUGAAUGUUAGAAGGAUAAUCGGGUUGAAGUAACUUAAGAGGUAAAUCCUCAAUUUAGGCGACUCGGCGAAUUGGAGCGAGCACGUGUUCUUCAUAUGUGAUGCCAAGCGCUUCCGCUAGUUGAUACUAAUGUUUUGGGUCAAAAUAACUUUUUGUACAAUUUGUUAGUAGACGCAGUUUGUUUUGUAUUCGAUGUUUGGUUUCAAUAGUAUCUUGUAGAAUGGUAUUUGUCUUGGUUAUGGUUCAAACAGGGAUUUACGCAUUUUAUGAACGGGUCAUGCCCAAAUUUUUUCAAAAUCAUGUGUUAAUGUUACUAGCGUUUUACCCUUUUAAGUUGUGAAAGAUUUGUGCAUUUUAGAAGUUUAUGUUUCUAGCGCCUUUUGGAUGUCAUUUCUUUUAGACGCAAAUACGGACAUAACAUAAUUUUUAAGGAUUUUUAGGGACGACCUUGUCUCUAAAGCUCAUUAUCUUUUACAUAGAGGUGGAAAAUUGGUUAGGUUGGGGUGUCAAGCAGGUUAAAAGCCGUAAAGUAUGACUGAUAUGACUUUAUGUGCAGGGGUCCUCAUCAGACAAUGGGGCUUACAUUUACUACCAAACUCUUUAGCUGGCUUUUCACCAAGAAAGAAAUGGGUAUAUUGAUGCUGGGCUUGGAUGUUGCUGGUAAGACAAUCAUUUUGUACAAGCCCAAGUAGGGAGAUUGUGACUACCAUCCCUACCAUUGGGGAAGAAGAAGAGAGUAUCGUCAAAUGUAUGGUGUAUUGGUGUUAUUAUUGCGACAAAUAAUUCGAUGGUGAGAAGAUCUUGGUUCAGCACCAGAAGCCUAAGCAUUUCAAGUGUCAUGUCUGCCACAAGAAGCUAUCAAGCGCUGGUGCUAUGGCCAUCAAAACUGGAAUAUGGAUAGCAUUUUAUUCGGUACCCUGUAUGUGAUCUGAACACAUGAGAUGCAGUUGCUAUCAAACAUCUGAACCCCAUGGAUCAGUUGGAGCAGUUGCUAGAUGGCAAGCUAUUGUUGAGGGUAUAGUGCAUAAUUUAUAGAAACCUUGUUUCGCUAUACAACACUAGAAGAGGUACUAUAAUCUUAUACAUGUCAUAAUAAGGUUCUUGCUUUAUUUUGUUCAAGCUGAUACUGUAAUACAGUUAAGUCAUCUUGUAGUGUUGGUUAUUACAUUAUGUGUUGACAGACUGCUUCUGUACAGUUUAUGUUUACUUUUGUCUCCUGUUUCAACAUCAGCAGCAAUUUCAAGAUCAACAUGAGCAACAGUUUCAUCAUCAACAUUUGUUUACUUAUGUCUCCUAGCAG